This 546-nucleotide ribosomal RNA is filed under the name Rahnella aquatilis. RNAcentral describes it as "bacterial SSU rRNA". It matches the Rfam family "Bacterial small subunit ribosomal RNA", at positions 905 to 1450 of the family's 1533-position model. Lineage: Bacteria; Pseudomonadati; Pseudomonadota; Gammaproteobacteria; Enterobacterales; Yersiniaceae. The record is from RNAcentral.
AUGAAUUGACGGGGGCCCGCACAAGCGGUGGAGCAUGUGGUUUAAUUCGAUGCAACGCGAAGAACCUUACCUACUCUUGACAUCCAGAGAAUUCGCUAGAGAUAGCUUAGUGCCUUCGGGAACUCUGAGACAGGUGCUGCAUGGCUGUCGUCAGCUCGUGUUGUGAAAUGUUGGGUUAAGUCCCGCAACGAGCGCAACCCUUAUCCUUUGUUGCCAGCACGUAAUGGUGGGAACUCAAAGGAGACUGCCGGUGAUAAACCGGAGGAAGGUGGGGAUGACGUCAAGUCAUCAUGGCCCUUACGAGUAGGGCUACACACGUGCUACAAUGGCAUAUACAAAGAGAAGCAAACUCGCGAGAGCAAGCGGACCUCAUAAAGUAUGUCGUAGUCCGGAUUGGAGUCUGCAACUCGACUCCAUGAAGUCGGAAUCGCUAGUAAUCGUAGAUCAGAAUGCUACGGUGAAUACGUUCCCGGGCCUUGUACACACCGCCCGUCACACCAUGGGAGUGGGUUGCAAAAGAAGUAGGUAGCUUAACCUUCGGGAGGG